GUAAUCCUGCUCAGUACGAGAGGAACCGCAGGUUUAGAUAUUUGGUGUAUGUGCUUGGCUGAGAAGCCAAUGGGGCGAAGCUACGAUCUGUGGGAUUAUGACUGAACGGCUCUAAGUCAGAAUCCCACC
This 129-nucleotide non-coding RNA is filed under the name Nomascus leucogenys (northern white-cheeked gibbon). Its description in RNAcentral is "Eukaryotic large subunit ribosomal RNA". It matches the Rfam family "Eukaryotic large subunit ribosomal RNA", at positions 3019 to 3147 of the family's 3401-position model. The record is from Rfam by way of RNAcentral. Lineage: Eukaryota; Metazoa; Chordata; Mammalia; Primates; Hylobatidae.